Molecule: long non-coding RNA, 149 nt
Organism: Etheostoma spectabile (orangethroat darter)
Lineage: Eukaryota; Metazoa; Chordata; Actinopteri; Perciformes; Percidae
Exons: 4
Source: RefSeq, a predicted model, not a curated record
UCAGACACACUGGAUCAUCAUGGUGCAGAGGUCUGUACUAUGAAGCAAGAUUUGGCGUUAACGAGGUAACUUCAGGUUCAACCAAGGGUUUUCUGUAUCACAAUGGUGGAUCCCUUGUUACCGGGUUAAAUCGCCAUGGUAACUUAUGC